RNAcentral lists this ribosomal RNA (615 nucleotides) under Halorubrum sp. I.B20. RNAcentral describes it as "bacterial SSU rRNA". It matches the Rfam family "Archaeal small subunit ribosomal RNA", at positions 46 to 662 of the family's 1478-position model. Lineage: Archaea; Methanobacteriati; Methanobacteriota; Halobacteria; Halobacteriales; Haloferacaceae. The record is from RNAcentral.
UAGCCAUGCUAGUCGCACGAGUUCAGACUCGUGGCGAAUAGCUCAGUAACACGUGGCCAAACUACCCUUCGGAACACGAUACCCUCGGGAAACUGAGGCUAAUAGUGUAUACCACAUCACCACUGGAAUGAGUGAUGUGCCAAACGCUCCGGCGCCGAAGGAUGUGGCUGCGGCCGAUUAGGUAGACGGUGGGGUAACGGCCCACCGUGCCAAUAAUCGGUACGGGUCAUGAGAGUGAGAACCCGGAGACGGAAUCUGAGACAAGAUUCCGGGCCCUACGGGGCGCAGCAGGCGCGAAACCUUUACACUGCACGACAGUGCGAUAGGGGGAUCCCAAGUGCACAGGCAUAGCGCCUGUGCUUUUCGGUACCGUAAGGUGGUACCAGAAUAAGGGCUGGGCAAGACCGGUGCCAGCCGCCGCGGUAAUACCGGCAGCCCAAGUGAUGGCCGAUCUUAUUGGGCCUAAAGCGUCCGUAGCUGGCCGCGCAAGUCCAUCGGGAAAUCCACCUGCUCAACAGGUGGGCGCCCGGUAGAAACUGCGUGGCUUGGGACCGGAAGGCGCGACGGGUACGUCCGGGGUAGGAGUGAAAUCCCGUAAUCCUGGACGGACCGCCG